CCACUGCUUGGUCGAUGAAAGUGAGGAGGUUGUUGUAGUAUCCCUCCACAUUCAGCAACCCAACCUGAGGAAGAGAAUUUGCACAAGGAACUUAAAGGUUGGGAGAUCAAAACAGAACUUUCUUGCAGAGUUUAAUGAGAUUUGGUGGUGUCAAUAUGUAUGGUACGUGUCAAAAAAGGAUAAAGGGUGAGGAUGGUUUCGUAUUGAAGGGGGUCACAGGAGCAAAUGAUCCAAUAGGGAAAAUUAAUGGCCACAGAAAGAAAAGAAAAGGCCCUACUCUGUUUUUUGUUUUUCUUUUUUUGGUGUCAAUUUAUGUUUCCCAAAAGUCUAAAAGAGUCUCAAGUCUAGUAUCCCUAUAGAGUCUGAAAACAUCAGUACUCUGUCUUUUAGACUCUUUCUAUCUGUCUGGUUUCUGGAGCAGAACAAUCAUAACUUGAUGGAUAAAUUGCUCAAAACACGUGCAGACCCCA
Benincasa hispida (wax gourd) is the source of this 470-nucleotide long non-coding RNA. RefSeq lists it as uncharacterized. The record is from RefSeq and is a predicted model, not a curated record. Lineage: Eukaryota; Viridiplantae; Streptophyta; Magnoliopsida; Cucurbitales; Cucurbitaceae.